AUGAACGCUGGCGGCGUGCCUAAUACAUGCAAGUAGAACGCUGAAGGAGGAGCUUGCUCUUCUGGAUGAGUUGCGAACGGGUGAGUAACGCGUAGGUAACCUGCCUGGUAGCGGGGGAUAACUAUUGGAAACGAUAGCUAAUACCGCAUGACAACAGUUAUUGCAUGAUAACUGUUUAAAAGGGGCAACUGCUCCACUACCAGAUGGACCUGCGUUGUAUUAGCUAGUUGGUGAGGUAACGGCUCACCAAGGCGACGAUACAUAGCCGACCUGAGAGGGUGAUCGGCCACACUGGGACUGAGACACGGCCCAGACUCCUACGGGAGGCAGCAGUAGGGAAUCUUCGGCAAUGGACGGAAGUCUGACCGAGCAACGCCGCGGGAGUGAAGAAGGUUGUCGGAUCGUAAAGCUCUGUUGUAAGAGAAGAACGAGUGUGAGAGUGGAAAGUUCACACUGUGACGGUAGCUUACCAGAAAGGGACGGCUAACUACGUG
Molecule: ribosomal RNA, 494 nt
Filed under: uncultured bacterium
Lineage: Bacteria
Description: partial 16S ribosomal RNA
Rfam family: Bacterial small subunit ribosomal RNA
Source: RNAcentral